UGCGAGUGAACCGGGAGGAGCCCAGCACCGAAUCCCUCAGCAGCUGGCUGACGGGAAGUGUGGUGUUCAGAGUGAUCGCUGUGCGUUGGACUGGUGUCUAAGUCUUCUUGACUGGGGUUUGAUGGCCCAGAGAGGGUGUCAGGCCUUUAAGGCGCUGGUUUGGCGUGCAAUGGUUGCUCGAAGAGUCGGGUUGUUUCUGAGUACAACCCAAAGCAGGUGGUAAACUCCAUCUAAGGCUAAAUAUGAGUACGAGUCCGAUAGCGAACAAGUACCGUGAGGGAAAGUUGCAAAGAACUUUGAAGAGAGAGUUCAAGAGUACGUGAAACCGCUCGGAGUGAAGCUGGUGAAGCCACGGGGUUACAACUCGGAAUCAAUCGUGCCAUGUGGAACACGUGGCGGCUUGUUGCGUGUACUGCGAGGUGCAUGGGCAGGCGGUCAUGUGCAUUGAGUCUUUCCGCUGGUGCGAUGUAUUUCUGACUUGUGACACGCCACGAGUGGUGGUGCGGCAGCUAGAAGUGCCAGGAGCAGGUAACACAUGUUCAGCUCGUGUGUGAUGGCUCAGGGCAUUAUAGGCUCUGUUGUGCUACCAAGGACAGCUUGUGCUGAGCUGAAGCGAUUCGUGCUCUUGAGGUGCACGUAGGUCGUCCGGUUGUUUGUGGUUCGUCUGGGACUGCCUUGCAGUGUCGGGCGUGUCAUGAGCACUCGGUGGCGGCUGCGCUGCGCGCCAAGUGGAUAGUAACGAAUGGCUGUUCGGUGGCGAGUUGGUAACUCACCAGUCCCGUCUUGAAACACGGACCAAGGAGUUCAGCAUGCAGGCGAGUCUGAGGGUUGAGCGAACCCGAAGGCGAAGUGAAAGCGAAAGUCGCCCAUCUGAGGUGGCUGAGAUGUGAUCCGGCUGCGGUGUGAGCCGUACCGGCGCAACAUCGUCUCGUCGUGACCUUGCGUGGGUGCGGCGAAGAUUGAGUCUGCACGCUGUGACCCGAAAGAUGGUGAACUAUGCCAGAGGAGGGCGAAGCCAGAGGAAACUCUGGUGGAGGUCCGAAGCGAUUCUAACGUGCAAAUUGAUCGUCAGACUUUGGUAUAGCGGCGAAAGACUAAUCGAACCAUCUAGUAGCUGGUUCCCUCCGAAGUUUCUCUCAGGAUAGCUGGUACUGAUGUGAUGAUUUUCACCCGGUAAAGCGAAUGAUUAGAGUGAUUUGGGUUGAAAAGACCUAAACCUAUUCUCAAACUGUAAAUGGAUGAGUGCUCUCGACUCGC
RNAcentral lists this ribosomal RNA (1257 nucleotides) under Paracatenula polyhymnia. RNAcentral's name for it is "eukaryotic LSU rRNA". It matches the Rfam family "Eukaryotic large subunit ribosomal RNA", at positions 88 to 1090 of the family's 3401-position model. The record is from RNAcentral. Lineage: Eukaryota; Metazoa; Platyhelminthes; Paracatenulidae.